RNAcentral lists this ribosomal RNA (467 nucleotides) under uncultured bacterium. RNAcentral's name for it is "bacterial SSU rRNA". It matches the Rfam family "Archaeal small subunit ribosomal RNA", at positions 723 to 1191 of the family's 1478-position model. The record is from RNAcentral.
ACUGAAUAGAUACCCCGGUAGUCCCAGCCGUAAACGAUGCUCGCUAGGUGUCAGGCAUGGCGCGACCGUGUCUGGUGCCGCAGGGAAGCCGUGAAGCGAGCCACCUGGGAAGUACGGCCGCAAGGCUGAAACUUAAGGGAAUUGGCGGGGGAGCACAACAACGGGUGGAGCCUGCGGUUUAAUUGGACUCAACGCCGGACAACUCACCGGGGGCGACAGCAAUAUGUAGGCCAAGCUGAAGACUUUGCCUGAAUCGCUGAGAGGAGGUGCAUGGCCGUCGCCAGUUCGUACUGUGAAGCAUCCUGUUAAGUCAGGCAACGAGCGAGACCCGUGCCCACUGUUACCAGCAUGUCCUUUGGGAUGAUGGGUACUCUGUGGGGACCGCCGGUGUCAAAUCGGAGGAAGGUGCGGGCACGGUAGGUCAGUAUGCCCCGAAUCUCCCGGGCUACACGCGGGCUACAAUGAAU